UCUAGGUUUCACUAUGAUUUUGUUUCUUUUUCACCUGGUAGGAGCUUUGAGAUUCGAAAUUGGUUUCACGUUUUUUUUCUCUUCUUCUUAUUCUAGAUCUGGUUUCAAGUUUCAAAGCCAUCGUUUUCCAAGAAAAACUCAAGAUUUGUGUAUGUAGAUGGUGUAAUUUCAGUAUCAUUUUUUAUUAUUAUGGAUAGCUGGAGAGGUAGCUUAUGUUUCUUAUUGAAGCGAAAGAGAGUCUUAUAUUCCUUUUGAAGAAGAUGGUGCCUUUUUUGGGCAUUCAUUAAUUUUUCAGCGGUAUUGUUCAUCAAUUUGUAUUUUUUAGGUUUUCUCAUUGAUUUUUUUAAUUGUGAUUUUUGUCUAAGUUGGAUAGAUGUAAGAUUUUUUUUUAACGGGUUUUCCACUAAUUUUAAAUUGACACUCUUUUUCUCUGAUUUCAA
Long non-coding RNA from Papaver somniferum (opium poppy), 440 nucleotides. RefSeq lists it as uncharacterized. The transcript is spliced from 2 exons. The record is from RefSeq and is a predicted model, not a curated record. Lineage: Eukaryota; Viridiplantae; Streptophyta; Magnoliopsida; Ranunculales; Papaveraceae.